AUGAACGCUGGCGGCGUGCCUAAUACAUGCAAGUCGAGCGAACAGACGAGGAGCUUGCUCCUCUGACGUUAGCGGCGGACGGGUGAGUAACACGUGGAUAACCUACCUAUAAGACUGGGAUAACUUCGGGAAACCGGAGCUAAUACCGGAUAAUAUAUUGAACCGCAUGGUUCAAUAGUGAAAGACGGUUUUGCUGUCACUUAUAGAUGGAUCCGCGCCGCAUUAGCUAGUUGGUAAGGUAACGGCUUACCAAGGCAACGAUGCGUAGCCGACCUGAGAGGGUGAUCGGCCACACUGGAACUGAGACACGGUCCAGACUCCUACGGGAGGCAGCAGUAGGGAAUCUUCCGCAAUGGGCGAAAGCCUGACGGAGCAACGCCGCGUGAGUGAUGAAGGUCUUCGGAUCGUAAAACUCUGUUAUUAGGGAAGAACAAAUGUGUAAGUAAAUAUGCACGUAUUGACGGUACCUAAUCAGAAAGCCACGGCUAACUACGUG
This 496-nucleotide ribosomal RNA is filed under the name uncultured bacterium. RNAcentral describes it as "partial 16S ribosomal RNA". It matches the Rfam family "Bacterial small subunit ribosomal RNA", at positions 29 to 507 of the family's 1533-position model. The record is from RNAcentral.